UCAGCAAAAUCAUGUAAGAGAUCGCUCCAGAACUUUCUUUCAUAUGAUCACAAGUCUCAAGGUAAAAGCUAACACAAGCUACAACAGAUAUAUAAACAUAAAAUGUAAUAAAACAUGUGCGCAAUCAUGUGAAUGAACAAUGAAGUCGAAAUGUAAGGAGAAGAAAACCACAACAGUUUCAUAACUGAAAAUAUAUAUCACAGCAGUUCCAUAAUUGAAAAUGAUACCCACAACAUUCCAUGGCAUAAAUGUAGAAAUGCAAUUUAGUAAACAAAAAUCCAUUAAAUCUAGAGGUGAAAACAAAACCCAACAACAAAGUUAUAAAUACUGAUAAAUCAUAAAUAUUUAGAUGUUAUUGUGCACAAAGAUAUGAGUCUAAUGGGUUUGAGUGAAUAAGUAACCCUUGAUAGAACUGAAUGGAGAAAAAAAAAUCAUAUGACUGACCCCAAUUGAUUGGGACAUAAGGCUCGGUUUGGUUUCAAAAAUAUUUACCAAGCUCUGGACAUUGUCCAUCACCAUCUAUAAACCUUUACAAUCUACGCUGGUGGUUUUCAAUCUUCUUUUAUGGAAGACAUUUUGAAUGUAUUUUCUUUUUUCUUGAGCAAUCAAUCGAGCGUACCGAUCCCUCCUAUACAUUUGUUAACGGGUCAUGGUUUUAUCUGUACAUA
This is a long non-coding RNA of Rhododendron vialii, 668 nucleotides long. RefSeq lists it as uncharacterized. The transcript has 3 exons. The record is from RefSeq and is a predicted model, not a curated record. NCBI's taxonomy places the organism in Eukaryota, Viridiplantae, Streptophyta, Magnoliopsida, Ericales, Ericaceae.